GAUAGUAUGGUGUAGUGGUUUGAGCAUUCGACUAUCAUUCUAGAGAACAGGGUUUGAAUCCCUGCAUAGCCA
Molecule: non-coding RNA, 72 nt
Organism: Phrynosoma platyrhinos (Desert horned lizard)
Lineage: Eukaryota; Metazoa; Chordata; Lepidosauria; Squamata; Phrynosomatidae
Source: the annotation of a GenBank genome assembly